GCGCAGCAGUCGCGAAAACUUCACACUGUGCGAAAGCACGAUGAGGGAAUCCCAAGUGCUUGCACGUAAGUGUAAGCUGUUUCUCUGUCUAAAACGCAGAGAGAGUAAGGGCUGGGUAAGACGGGUGCCAGCCGCCGCGGUAAUACCUGCAGCUCAAGUGGUGACCGUUAUUAUUGGGCCUAAAACGUCCGUAGCCGGUUUAAUAAAUGCCUGGGUAAAUUGUGUAGCUUAACUAUACGAAUUCCGGGUAGACUGUUAAACUUGAGACCGGGAGAAGUUAGAGGUACUCCUGGGGUAGAGGUGAAAAUUCUGUAAUCCUAGGGGGACCACCAGUGGCGAAGGCGUCUAACUAGAACGGGUCUGACGGUGAGGGACGAAGCCC
This 382-nucleotide ribosomal RNA is filed under the name uncultured microorganism. RNAcentral describes it as "bacterial SSU rRNA". It matches the Rfam family "Archaeal small subunit ribosomal RNA", at positions 330 to 712 of the family's 1478-position model. The record is from RNAcentral.